AAGCUGUGAUGAACUUUGCGCAUGAGUGGUGAUUUGGGUCGCCACGAUUUGUUUGAAUAAAACUGUGGACGACUAUCAGCGCAUCUGAGCUC
RNAcentral lists this small nucleolar RNA (92 nucleotides) under Ipomoea nil (Japanese morning glory). RNAcentral's name for it is "small nucleolar RNA snoR114". It matches the Rfam family "small nucleolar RNA snoR114". Lineage: Eukaryota; Viridiplantae; Streptophyta; Magnoliopsida; Solanales; Convolvulaceae. The record is from Rfam by way of RNAcentral.